UGAUUAUGCUUUGUAAAAACAUAUAUAUAUAUAUAUGAUAUAUCCUAUUAUUUUGAAAUUAAGCAGAACCCUUUGACAGCUUGGAUGAAUUGUUUACAUAACCUUCUGCGGUAUACUAAUCACUGAAUAAUUUUCAAGACUUUAAGACGUUAUAGAGCGGAAAAAGUUAUUCUACAAUAUCCGGAAUAAUUUCCAGAAUCACAAACAUUCUUCAAAUACAUUUACAUUAUACUUCGCAAGAUGAUCUUCAUGAGAAAAUUGUAUUUAAAUUUUGAACUGGAAAUUAGCAUAAAAAUUAAGAAACUGGGAUGGUUCAACAUUUAUUAGAUUUCUGGCUUUUCAAACAGUCGUCGUCGUAUUAAAAACAAUACAUUGAAGACGACUUUCGAUUUUAAUUUUGACUUUAAUCAAGAUUUCAAAGAGCACAGAUACACAAGUGGAAACAGAGAGAAGCUGUCCAUUAACAGCUUUUCUUUGUUUACUUGUAAGUUUUUAAUUUGAAAUAAAAGCGUUUUAUAAAUUAAAACUUAAAAAGAAAGUCGUCUUCAAUAUGUUGAUAUAAACGCCGACCAAUGUACAUAUCUUUCUGCUAAUCGCUGACGAAAACAUCCUUAGUUUUCUCGCUAAAACUGAGUGCCAUUAUUUUUGUUGCACAUUAAUUUUUUUAUGGCUUGUAAUUUAUUAGGAUCAUAUUUCCCAUAGCUUCUAGACUCUAUGGGGGCCAUAAAAAUUACUUAGGAUCCGAAUACAAUCAUAUCGAAUAUUUAACAAUCAUAAUUAACCCGUGUCCUUGGUAUUUAUGUGUCUUCUCUCAAUAUUGUAAAAUUCAAAAUCUUAAUAUUUUGUAAAAAUUUAUAAAUUUUGUUAUAUAAAAUAUGAGGAACCUG
Eurytemora carolleeae is the source of this 887-nucleotide long non-coding RNA. RefSeq lists it as uncharacterized. The record is from RefSeq and is a predicted model, not a curated record. The transcript has 2 exons. NCBI's taxonomy places the organism in Eukaryota, Metazoa, Arthropoda, Copepoda, Calanoida, Temoridae.